Non-coding RNA from Peromyscus maniculatus bairdii (prairie deer mouse), 568 nucleotides. The record is from RefSeq and is a predicted model, not a curated record. Lineage: Eukaryota; Metazoa; Chordata; Mammalia; Rodentia; Cricetidae.
AGGGAGAAUCCGGUCCCUUGGCUAGGGAGAAAGGCAAGAAAUUAGAAACAGCUGUAUUACCUCUUCAUCCCCAGGAGAUGGAGGCUGUGGCCUGUUUGGAACUGGCAAGGGGGCUCUCAGUUCCCUCCUAUCUCAUCCAAGUGACAGGGCAGAUGAAUUUGAGGAGCCUAGAAACUCAGGAGUACAGACAAAUAAGGCAAUGCAGGCACAUCUUUUGGGAACCAUAAUUCUGCACAUUCAGCUGGUUGUAGUGGCCCCACAGUUGUGGGAUGCUCUGCCCACUUCCAGCACUGGAGAGCAAACCCAGAGCCGCAGGAAUGCUAGAGGUCUCUGUUUCAGUUCCUGCCUCCACGUACCUGCUUUGAGCUCCUUCCUUGACUUCCUCGGAUAACGGACUGUGCACACCUGCCCGUCAAAUAAGCCCUUCCUCCCCCCCCCCCCCCGCCCCCAGCUGCUGUUGGUUACAACGUUGGUGACAGCAGCAGAGAAGUAACCAGCACGCUGACGUGCAAAGCCUAGUUCCUGGUGAGACUACAGCAGUCUACCCUUCAUCCCAGACACCUCCAUC